CGAGGAGGGAACGUAACCGGACGAAGUCGGACUAAUACCGCAGUAAAACAGGGGCACCGCAUGGUGAUAUUUGUUAAAGAAUUCGCUGAUAGAUGGGCAUGCGUUCCAUUAGGUAGUUGGUGAGGUAACGGCUCACCAAGCCGACGAUGGAUAGGGGAACUGAGAGGUUGGUCCCCCCACACUGGUACUGAGACACGGACCAGACUCCUACGGGAGGCAGCAGUGAGGAAUAUUGGUCAAUGGGCGGGAGCCUGAACCAGCCAAGUCGCGUAGAAGGAAGAAGGAUCUAUGGUUCGUAAACUUCUUUUGCAGGGGAAUAAAGUGCAGGACGUGUCCUGUUUUGUAUGUACCCUGAGAAUAAGGAUCGGCUAACUCCGUGCCAGCCGCGGC
This 390-nucleotide ribosomal RNA is filed under the name uncultured bacterium. RNAcentral describes it as "bacterial SSU rRNA". It matches the Rfam family "Bacterial small subunit ribosomal RNA", at positions 134 to 518 of the family's 1533-position model. The record is from RNAcentral.